CCAACGCUCCCAGGCAAUGGACCGCCUGAGUUUACUCUUCGACGAGAGGGGGGGGUAACCCGCUGAACCCCACUCGUGAUAGGGAUUGGGGAUUGUUAUUUUUUCCCAUGAAAGAAGAAUUCCCAAGAAGCGGGGGUCAUAAUGUCGUGUUUAUUUCCUCCCCCCCCUUUGUACACACCACAAAA
This 185-nucleotide ribosomal RNA is filed under the name uncultured eukaryote. RNAcentral's name for it is "partial 18S ribosomal RNA". It matches the Rfam family "Eukaryotic small subunit ribosomal RNA", at positions 1512 to 1666 of the family's 1831-position model. The record is from RNAcentral.